Molecule: ribosomal RNA, 443 nt
Filed under: uncultured bacterium
Lineage: Bacteria
Description: partial 16S ribosomal RNA
Rfam family: Bacterial small subunit ribosomal RNA
Source: RNAcentral
CCUACGGGUGGCAGCAGUGGGGAAUAUUGGGCAAUGGGCGCAAGCCUGACCCAGCAACGCCGCGUGAAGGAAGAAGGCUUUCGGGUUGUAAACUUCUUUUUUCAGGGACGAAGAAAGUGACGGUACCUGAGGAAUAAACCACGGCUAACUACGUGCCAGCAGCCGCGGUAAUCCGGAUGGUGACAGCGUUUUCCGGAUUUACUGGGUGUAAAGGGCGGGCAGGCGGCACGGCAAGCCUGAUGUGAAAGCCCGCGGCGCAACCGCGGGACUGCAGUGGGAACUCCCGGGCUGGAGUGUCGGAGAGGUAGGCGGAAUGCCUAGUGUAGCGGUGAAAUGCGUAGAUAUUAGGAGGAACACCAGUGGCGAAGGCGGCCUACUGGACGGUGACUGACGCUGAGGCUCGAAAGCGUGGGGAGCAAACAGGAUUAGAUACCCCAGUAGUC